AUGAGUGUUUUAAGUUGGAACUGCCGGGGGCUUGGGAACCCCGAGGCAGUUCGGGAGCUUCGCAGUAUUGUGAAGCUUGAAGGACCCUCCCUUCUUUGUAAUGAAACGAAAAUCAAGGCAAAAAGAGUUGAGGAUUUGAAGUAUACGCUUGGUUUUACAGGCAGUUUUGCUGUUAACAGUGUCGGCCUCACUGGAGGCAUAGGUCUGUUU
This 210-nucleotide ribosomal RNA is filed under the name Triticum aestivum (bread wheat). Its description in RNAcentral is "partial small subunit ribosomal RNA". Lineage: Eukaryota; Viridiplantae; Streptophyta; Magnoliopsida; Poales; Poaceae. The record is from RNAcentral.